RNAcentral lists this ribosomal RNA (577 nucleotides) under uncultured bacterium. RNAcentral's name for it is "bacterial SSU rRNA". It matches the Rfam family "Bacterial small subunit ribosomal RNA", at positions 338 to 916 of the family's 1533-position model. The record is from RNAcentral.
CCUACGGGAGGCAGCAGUAGGGAAUAUUGGACAAUGGGCGCAAGCCUGAUCCAGCCAUGCCGCGUGCAGGAAGAAGGCUUUCUGAGUUGUAAACUGCUUUUGCCAGGGGAUAAAAAGUCCCUGCGGGGAAAAUUGAAGGUACCUGGUGAAUAAGCCACGGCUAACUACGUGCCAGCAGCCGCGGUAAUACGUAGGUGGCAAGCGUUGUCCGGAUUUAUUGAGUUUAAAGGGUGCGUAGGCGGUUCAUUAAGUCAGCGGUGAAAUACGACAGCUUAACUGUCGAGGUGCCAUUGAUACUGGAGAACUUGAGUACUGAUGAGGUAUGCGGAAUGGACGGUGUAGCGGUGAAAUGCUUAGAUAUCGUCCAGAACACCGAUAGCGAAGGCAGCAUACUAAGGAGUAACUGACGCUGAGGCACGAAAGUGUGGGGAUCAAACAGGAUUAGAUACCCUGGUAGUCCACACUGUAAACGCUGAUCACUCGAUGUUGGCGAUACACAGCCAGCGUCUUAGCAAAAGCGAUAAGUGAUCCACCUGGGGAGUACGCCGGCAACGGUGAAACUCAAAGGAAUUGACGG